RNAcentral lists this long non-coding RNA (205 nucleotides) under Elaeis guineensis (African oil palm). Its description in RNAcentral is "long non-coding RNA (EGUI_LNC061047)". Lineage: Eukaryota; Viridiplantae; Streptophyta; Magnoliopsida; Arecales; Arecaceae. The record is from RNAcentral.
CACGGCAACCGAUCUUCAUCCGAGCUUCUACAAUAAGCAGACUUCAUCCAGACUCCUACAAGAGCCGGACUCCAUCCGAACUUCUACAACAGAAUUGAAUCCUGGAAUCCUCCAAUGUUCGACCUUCCACAGUGUCCUCAAGGCUCCUCCAAUGGAUGAACCUCCAUAAUGCCAUCUGAACUUCACUAUCGAUCGAUCCUCUGUC